RNAcentral lists this ribosomal RNA (267 nucleotides) under uncultured bacterium. Its description in RNAcentral is "partial 16S ribosomal RNA". It matches the Rfam family "Bacterial small subunit ribosomal RNA", at positions 1234 to 1500 of the family's 1533-position model. The record is from RNAcentral.
CGGGUACAGAGGGUCGCUAAGCCGCGAGGUGGAGCCAAUCCCAAAAAGCCGUUCUCAGUUCGGAUUGCAGGCUGCAACCCGCCUGCAUGAAGUCGGAAUCGCUAGUAAUCGCGAGUCAGCAUAUCGCGGUGAAUACGUUCCCGGGUCUUGUACACACCGCCCGUCACACCACGGGAGUUGGCAACACCCGAAGUUGGUAGUCUAACCGCAAGGAGGACGCCGCCUAAGGUGGGAUUGAUGACUGGGGUGAAGUCGUAACAAGGUAUC